This is a long non-coding RNA of Leucoraja erinaceus (little skate), 941 nucleotides long. RefSeq lists it as uncharacterized. Lineage: Eukaryota; Metazoa; Chordata; Chondrichthyes; Rajiformes; Rajidae. The transcript has 3 exons. The record is from RefSeq and is a predicted model, not a curated record.
GCUCGCAAGUUUCCCCUUUGAGCGGGGAGCGGUGCACCACCGCGCCGCUGGAAAUCGACAUCAGGCACUCGGCGGCGAAGUAGUCGCGGCAGGCGAACACAGACAUGGCUGGGAAUGGAAGGAGACUCCCCUCUGUGUGAGCAUGGGUCCUCAAGAAUCGGUGAAGACAUCCCCAGGAAAUGGUGUUUAAGAAGGAACUGCAGAUGCUGGAAAAUCAAAGGCUGACUUAGAGUCACCAUGACUGUAAAUCCUGCACACACCCUUUGGCUCAGAAAUGAGGGCUUUGAGUUCCUCUUUGAAUACGUGUCAGAAGAAAGGAAGACUCCAAUGGUGCCCUGGGGUGGUCAUGGAGCAAAGUGGAUGACACUCAGAAUCCACAUGACACCAACAGCAUUCAAUAUCACCCAUGAUAAUCAAUUACUUUGUGCAGAGCAGUAUGGUUAUGCCCACUCCACAUAUUGCAUGACGCCACAAUCCUUCUGAAAGCAGGAAUGUCUUGUAGUGGCUGGCACCUUAUUAUAAACAGAAUAUAGGCAUAACUGCUAAUAAUAAAAAUAUAUCUUGCUGCUUUAUUAAUUUGCUGUUUGUAUUUAAAAAAAAGACACAAGGUGCUGGAGUAACUCAGCAGGUCAGGCCCAUUAAGGUUUGUAGGUUAAUUUGAAUGCAUUAAAAAUUGUAAACUAAACUAAACUAAAGGCAGGGAACUACAGGCUAGUGAGUCCAACAUCAGUGGUGUGAAAGAUACUGGAGGGAAUACUGAGGAACAGGAUCUACCAGGGUUUGGAAAGGGAAGGACUGAUUAGUAAAAAUCCACGUUUUUUUUCUGAAAAGAUGAUGAAGAAGACCACUGAGGGCAUGUGGUAUGCAUUCAUCGGCCGGAACAUUAAGUAGAAGAGUCGGGAAGUUAUGAUGCAGCUUUAUAGAACUUAGGGUUAGGCAGC